UACGGAGGGGGCUAGCGUUGUUCGGAAUUACUGGGCGUAAAGCGUACGUAGGCGGCUUUGUAAGUUAGAGGUGAAAGCCCGGGGCUCAACCCCGGAAUUGCCUUUAAGACUGCAUCGCUUGAAUCGCGGAGAGGUGAGUGGAAUUCCGAGUGUAGAGGUGAAAUUCGUAGAUAUUCGGAAGAACACCAGUGGCGAAGGCGGCUCACUGGACGCGUAUUGACGCUGAGGUACGAAAGCGUGGGGAGCAAACGGG
Molecule: ribosomal RNA, 253 nt
Filed under: uncultured bacterium
Lineage: Bacteria
Description: partial 16S ribosomal RNA
Rfam family: Bacterial small subunit ribosomal RNA
Source: RNAcentral